GCUCCCCUGGCGUAAUGGUAACGCGUUGGACUUCUAUCCAUUCCCAGGCGAGGUUCUGAAGAAUGUGUGAUCCGAAGACUGCGGGUUCGAGCCCCGCGGGGAGUG
This is a transfer RNA of Puccinia triticina 1-1 BBBD Race 1, 105 nucleotides long. It matches the Rfam family "tRNA". Rfam says of the family: Transfer RNA (tRNA) molecules are approximately 80 nucleotides in length. Their secondary structure includes four short double-helical elements and three loops (D, anti-codon, and T loops). The record is from Rfam. Lineage: Eukaryota; Fungi; Basidiomycota; Pucciniomycetes; Pucciniales; Pucciniaceae.